UAUGCGUUGUGCAUUAUGCCUUUAUGCAAGAGUGUGUUCCCCGCUUUAAAAGCGGGAGCACGGACUUUUGCAUAAAGUACAAUACAUAAAGGAAAAUAAACCAAUCAGAGUCCUUCAUUUCUAUUCGAGGGAUAAAAAUCAAGACUGUGAAUAAUUUAUCUUUUAUACGUUAUGUAUUAUAUUGUAAUGGCGUUGAGGCAUAAUUCUUAGAGUUUGGAGCCAUUUAUUGAAGUUGAAGUUAUGUAUUAUAUUUUAUGUGCAAUAGCUUGCUCUUGUCCUUACCCUGCGUUACUUUUUGACCCCUGAACUGAUGUAUUAUAAAAUAAUAAGUUAAAAAUAAUGGGAGGUAUAGUGAAGUUUGCCACUAGAGAUUAAUCUGUAGAUACGUGCAAGGCUGCUACGAAGAGGAGACUUGAGUAAUUUUUUUCGGUUUCUCUCGCUAAUUUUUAUACUUGUUAAUAAACAUUUUCUGGUAUUUUACAGAGAUUUAGUGUAUUUUUCGUGUAGUUACAAUAGACCUGUUCUUUGUAGCUGCACUGCUGAACUGGUGCAAUAUAUUGAAGUGAAACAAAUAUAAGUUUUCUCACUCUAACUUAUUGCACUAGUUCAGCAGUGCAGCUAUAAAGAACAGGCCUAAUAUAUCUCGAUACUUUUAUAACAUAUUCUUUCAAGAUAUAAUGCUCAUAAAGUGAUGAAGUAAAAAUAGCCGAGAUAGACUGUGACACCCCAGGUAGCAAGGUGACAAGAUCAAUUCGAGAUCAAUAAUCAAAACACAUCCUCCUUUCUACUAACCUGUUUGACCGCUUACCUGCUUACCUACCAGCCCACCGGUAUGUGCACGAUCGUGCUCCCAAUUUUAGCGCUCAAGACGCGAGAGAAAUCCCUCAAGAGCAUUGAAGGUAAAGACUUCAGAGAGCUUGUGGCUGGGCUACGCAGCUACUCUAGGAGCGGCUCUAUUUUUGCUAUUUCUUAAUCUGUAUCGCGUAUUUUUGCCUCCCCCUCCUAUUGAGUUACGUGCACCCCAGUGAAAGGGUAGUGGCAUACACGUGGCUGACACAUGGCCGCAUGCCAAAUAUAACGAACGCGGGGAAGCUGCCGCUUGAAAUACACAGCUGUUGGCCGUACAUGGUCUAAUGCAACUUCGGAGCUAGUAUACACAUUGUGUAUAUUUGGCUCUGUUUAUAGAAAUCUUUGAAGAGGUUUCUUCCAUACUGGAUCAUUCCCAGAAAACACAAUCUUUCAAAGAUGUUCCAAACACAUCCUGAGGACUUCUAAAUGUCCAUAUAAAUUCCCAGGAUAUCCUAAAGAUAUGACUUCUAAAGACUUCUAAAUGUCUGUAUAAGUCUCCAGGAUAUCCCUUGAAGGUCUUGUUGCUUUUUGAGUUAUGAUCUUAGAUCAUUUGUUUAGUAUUUUUCUGCAUCUCUUACAUUUAAUAAAGUAAAAUUGUUGUACAGACAAUUGAUAUCUAAGAAAGUUGAUUGAAAUGAUUUACUGCGCCAUUUGCUCAUUGCAUGUGUGAAAUUGAAAUUCUCAAUUAUAGCAAUGGUCGCGUAUAUUGGGUGGCAACUUCCUUUCUUAAAGUCACAGCUGAUUCGUAUCCUUAAGUGGUAAGCCGCCACGAUAAAAUGUAAAGGAUUAUACAAUAUAUAUUAUAUGUAGUUAUUAUAUAAUAUACAGUUUUAUUACCAUAUUAUCAUUAAUCAUAAGGUAUAAUAAGAAGAACGAUUCGUCGGACAGCAAUAUGAGCCGACAUCGCAGUGGCCGGUAUGGACGAUCGUAUUCCUCGUUAUUGUUGCUGUUUUUGUUCGAUUACCAUCUUGUAGGCAUCAUGGAUGCCAAACUUACGCGAUCAUCAGCGAGCGAGCACGUGUCAUGUGUCUAUAAUAUAGACGUAUGGAUUCCGUAUAGGUGUUUGUGUGUGUACGUGUACACGAUAGUUGCACAUCAUUGGGUUGAGAAGAACUCGUUGUUCAGAGGUCAAGGAGACUAUCAAUAAAUUAGUUAUAUGUUCAUAAACAAACGUGUUGUAUAAACUACAAAUUACAGUACAGUCUGGUAAAUGUGUAGCAUAAAAGCACUUAGGUAAUCUUUUUUUUUUUUUACUUUUGCGAUCCUCUUUCUCAUAUUCCUAUCUCCUUUCUCCCUUUCUCUCUCUCUCUCUCUUCUCAUCUUCCUUUCUUACUAUCUCUCUCUUCCUUCCCUCUCUUUUCGCGUCUAUGUAUCUCGUGAGGAAUAUGAUAUAACUUAAAAUACGGCCGUAUGCGUGGAAAAGGAGACAAUCGACGAAGAGAAAGAAAAGAGUUGCGGCGGUGACGCUGUUUAAUCUUUGGCAAUGCGUGCUUAGAAGCAUUUGCGGUGGACAAUGCCGGGGCCGGAUUCGUCGUACUCCUGUUUGGAGAUCCACAUCUGUUGGAAGGUGGACAGGGAGGCCAGGAUGGAACCGCCGAUCCAUACGGAGUAUUUCCUCUCGGGAGGAGCGA
Long non-coding RNA from Odontomachus brunneus, 2480 nucleotides. RefSeq lists it as uncharacterized. The transcript has 2 exons. Lineage: Eukaryota; Metazoa; Arthropoda; Insecta; Hymenoptera; Formicidae. The record is from RefSeq and is a predicted model, not a curated record.